Molecule: long non-coding RNA, 992 nt
Filed under: Lupinus angustifolius (narrow-leaved blue lupine)
Lineage: Eukaryota; Viridiplantae; Streptophyta; Magnoliopsida; Fabales; Fabaceae
Description: long non-coding RNA (LANG_LNC003234)
Source: RNAcentral
GUUUUUGUAUUAACACAUACUCAACUAUAAAAGGCAGCACACACACAGGCUACAAAGGGGGGAGUCACAGGAAUAGAAAGACUCAAUGUUGCCAUCACGGCACCCUUAGUUGUCUGUGUUAUAUUAUUGCUAACACAUAAGCCCCAAACGAUACAGAGAUCAGAGAGAGAACAACCAGAAAAGGCAGAAAUAAUCAGGGCACAUAUUCACAUCAUAUAAACAGAGAGCAAUUCCUAUCAAUACACAUAACAGAUCAGAGAAUACGCUACACAUUAGGGCAGGCAGAAAUCAUACAACAUGUGCAUCACAUAAAUUCAGGAACAGGUAGACAUCAUAUACAUGCACUCAGUGAAAACCCAGACAACAAAACACAGAGAUACAUAUCAUACAGCAGAAUCAGAGAUAUAUCUAUAUCAUGCAUACAUAGAGAAAAACAUCUGGGAACAAAGAAUCAACACGCAAAAAGACAAAAGAAAGAAGCAUACAUCCAGGUAAGCAUUCGAAACAUAAAAAUGCCUUCAAUAUGAGCAUCAACGCAUAUAUAUAUAUAUAUGAGAUAAAAAUGCCCUGUUUCAUUUGAUUUAUGUUAUAGACUUACAAUAUGAGCAUCAACGCAUAUAUAUAUGAGAUAAAAAUGCCCUGUUUCAUUUGAUUUAUGUUAGAGACUUACAUGGUUAGUUCAUAAAUGUUUCUAAUUGGUCAUAUAAAAUACAUAUUGAUUUCAACAGAAACAUAUCUAUUUGCACUCAUAUAUAUUACGGUUCAUUUCUGGUUAACUGUUUGUCCAAAUCGGUUAUCUGUGAUAGAUUAAGUUCAUGCUGUAAAAUUGAAUGAAAAGGAUAAAAAUCCUUACCGGAAUCCUCUAGGUUUUGUGCCGAUGCCAAAUAGCAACCUUAAUGUUAUCCCCACCGAAUGAAAUCACAUAUUUAAUCCACUCCUUGGCCUUAAUGAACCUCAGUGGUGAUAACGAGAAUCAGAAACAACAACAAAAA